Molecule: ribosomal RNA, 459 nt
Filed under: uncultured bacterium
Lineage: Bacteria
Description: partial 16S ribosomal RNA
Rfam family: Bacterial small subunit ribosomal RNA
Source: RNAcentral
CCUACGGGUGGCUGCAGUGAGGAAUAUUGGUCAAUGGCCGCGAGACUGAACCAGCCAAGUAGCGUGAAGGAAGACGGCCCUACGGGUUGUAAACCUCUUUUAUCAGGGGACAAGGUGCAGGUCGGGAGCUGCUGUGAGAGUACCGGAAGAAAAAGCAUCGGCUAACUCCGUGCCAGCAGCCGCGGUAAUACGGAGGAUGCGAGCGUUAUCCGGAUUUAUUGGGUUUAAAGGGUGCGCAGGCGGCGGCUAAAGUCAGCGGUAAAAUCGCGGGGCUCAACCCCGCUCCGCCGGGGCAACUGUGUUCCUUGAGUGCGCGGAGGGUAGGCGGAAUGCGUGGUGUAGCGGUGAAAUGCAUAGAUAUCACGAAGAACUCCGAUCGCGAAGGCAGCCUACCGGCGCGCAACUGACGCUCAUGCACGAAAGCGUGGGUAUCGAACAGGAUUAGAUACCCUUGUAGUC